RNAcentral lists this ribosomal RNA (468 nucleotides) under uncultured bacterium. Its description in RNAcentral is "partial 16S ribosomal RNA". It matches the Rfam family "Bacterial small subunit ribosomal RNA", at positions 28 to 507 of the family's 1533-position model. The record is from RNAcentral.
GACGAACGCUGGCGGCGUGCUUAACACAUGCAAGUCGAACGGAAAGACCCUGCUUUUGUGGGGUGCUCAAGUGGCGAACGGGUGAGUAACACGUGAGUAACCUGCCCUUGACUUUGGGAUAACUUCAGGAAACUGGGGCUAAUACCGGAUAGGAGCUCCUGCUGCAUGGUGGGGGUUGGAAAGUUUCGGCGGUUGGGGAUGGACUCGCGGCUUAUCAGCUUGUUGGUGGGGUAGUGGCUUACCAAGGCUUUGACGGGUAGCCGGCCUGAGAGGGUGACCGGCCACAUUGGGACUGAGAUACGGCCCAGACUCCUACGGGAGGCAGCAGUGGGGAAUAUUGCACAAUGGGCGGAAGCCUGAUGCAGCAACGCCGCGUGCGGGAUGACGGCCUUCGGGUUGUAAACCGCUUUCGCCUGUGACGAAGCGUGAGUGACGGUAAUGGGUAAAGAAGCACCGGCUAACUACGUG